Molecule: transfer RNA, 73 nt
Filed under: Blattella germanica (German cockroach)
Lineage: Eukaryota; Metazoa; Arthropoda; Insecta; Blattodea; Blattellidae
Description: tRNA-Tyr (GTA) (tRNA-Tyr-GTA-3-1)
Rfam family: tRNA
About the family: Transfer RNA (tRNA) molecules are approximately 80 nucleotides in length. Their secondary structure includes four short double-helical elements and three loops (D, anti-codon, and T loops). Further hydrogen bonds mediate the characteristic L-shaped molecular structure. tRNAs have two regions of fundamental functional importance: the anti-codon, which is responsible for specific mRNA codon recognition, and the 3' end, to which the tRNAs corresponding amino acid is attached (by aminoacyl-tRNA synthetases). tRNAs cope with the degeneracy of the genetic code in two manners: having more than one tRNA (with a specific anti-codon) for a particular amino acid; and 'wobble' base-pairing, i.e. permitting non-standard base-pairing at the 3rd anti-codon position.
Source: RNAcentral
CCUCUGGUAGCUCAGUUGGUAGAGCGGUGGACUGUAGAUCCAUGGGUCGCUGGUUCAAAUCCGGCCCGGAGGA